RNAcentral lists this ribosomal RNA (448 nucleotides) under uncultured bacterium. RNAcentral's name for it is "SSU rRNA". It matches the Rfam family "Bacterial small subunit ribosomal RNA", at positions 26 to 518 of the family's 1533-position model. The record is from RNAcentral.
AGAGCGAACGCUGGCGGCAGGCCUAACACAUGCAAGUCGAGCGCCCGUAGCAAUACGGGAGCGGCAGACGGGAUAGUAACACGUGGGAACGCGCCCUUCGGUUCGGAAUAACUCAGGGAAACUUGAGCUAAUACCGGAUACGCCCUUACGGGGAAAGAUUUAUUGCCGAAGGAACGGCCCGCGUCCGAUUAGCUAGUUGGUGAGGUAAUGGCUCACCAAGGCGACGAUCGGUAGCUGGUCUGAGAGGAUGACCAGCAUCACUGGGACUGAGACACGGCCUAGACUCCUACGGGAGGCAGCAGUGGGGAAUAUUGGACAAUGGGCGCAAGCCUGAUCCAGCCAUGCCGCGUGGAUGAUGAAGGCCUUAGGGUUGUAAAGUCCUUUUAACGGGGAAGAUAAUGACGGUACCCGUAGAAUAAGCCCCGGCUAACUUCGCGCCAGCAGCCGC